Molecule: ribosomal RNA, 433 nt
Filed under: uncultured bacterium
Lineage: Bacteria
Description: partial 16S ribosomal RNA
Rfam family: Bacterial small subunit ribosomal RNA (bases 64-433)
Source: RNAcentral
GGGGGGGGGGGGGGGGGGGGGUGGCGGGGGGAGGGGGGGGGGGAGCUGCGGGGCGGGUGGCGCGCGGGGGCGUGACGCGUGGGACCCUGCCCUUAGGUGCUGAAGGGUUGCCCGGAAGGGGUGCGACUACCGGCGAACGUCGUCGGGCCACCGAGUGAUCUCUUGUGUGUGGGCCCGCGUUGGUUGAGCUGGUUGGUGGGGUAAAAGCCUACCAAGGCGACGCUCCAUAGCUGUGCUGAGAGGAUGAUCAGCCACACUGGGACUGAGACACGGCCCAGACUCCUACGUGGGGCAGCAGUGGGGAAUAUGGGACAAUGGGCGAAAGCCUGAGCCAGCAAUGCCGCGGGAGUGAUGAAGGCCUUAGGGUUGUAAAGCUCUUUUACCCGGGAUGAUAAUGACAGUACCGGGAGAAUAAGCUCCGGCUAACUCCGUG